GAUGAACGCUGACGAAUGCUUAACACAUGCAAGUCUUUGGCGAAGCUGUGCUUGCACAGCCUAGCCAGGCGGACGGGUGAGUAACGCGUAAGGGACUUGCCCUGCAGUCAGGGAUAACAGACGGAAACGACUGAUAAGACCUGGUAAAGUCAGGCGGACUCAUGUCCAGCCUGAUGAAAAGGAAUGCUGCAGGAGAGCCUUGCGUCCUAUUAGCUUGUUGGUGGGGUAACGGCCCACCAAGGCGAUGAUAGGUAUCCGGCCUGAGAGGGUGGACGGCCACAAGGGGACUGAGAUACUGCCCUUACUCCUACGGGAGGCAGCAUUGGGGAAUUUUGGACAAUGGGGGCAACCCUGAUCCAUCAAUUCUGUGUGCACGAUUAAGGUCUUCGUAUUGGAAAGUGCUGUCACCACGGAAAAAAAAAAUGACGGGUUCCUGCAAAAGAAGCGACGUUGAUUUACUUUGCCUGCAGCCGGUGUUGUACGUAUGUGCGCGAGCGGUAUCCGGAAUUAUUGGGUAUAAAGGGCAUCUAGGCGGCCCUGUGAUUCUAGGUGUGAAAACCUGCGGCUCUGCCUUAAGGCCUGCCCUGUAAUUACGGGGCUUGUUGUGCUUGUGUAGGUGGAUGUACUUGUGAUAUGAUAUUGUAUUUCUAGAUAUGUGUCGGGUAUGCUGAUGAUGAUGUUUGUGUCUGUGUGUGCUGCUGAUGUGUAGUGGUGAAAUCUUGUGAGGCAAAUGGUGAUAAUAUCCUGUUGUCCAUGGGAUAAUCCUGUGUGGUUUGUGUGUCUGUGGUGCCCGCCUUCCUGUGGAAAAAAUAUUAUGUAUAUAACUUGUCCUGCCUGUUGGUGUGCGUUGUGUUUUACGCACUGUGAUAUGUUGUUUGUGUGAUGCUGUC
Molecule: ribosomal RNA, 890 nt
Filed under: uncultured Streptococcus sp.
Lineage: Bacteria; Bacillati; Bacillota; Bacilli; Lactobacillales; Streptococcaceae
Description: bacterial SSU rRNA
Rfam family: Bacterial small subunit ribosomal RNA
Source: RNAcentral